This 254-nucleotide ribosomal RNA is filed under the name uncultured bacterium. Its description in RNAcentral is "partial 16S ribosomal RNA". It matches the Rfam family "Bacterial small subunit ribosomal RNA", at positions 524 to 777 of the family's 1533-position model. The record is from RNAcentral.
UACGAGGGGGGCGAGCGUUGUUCGGAAUUAUUGGGCGUAAAGGGUGCGUAGGCGGUUUGGUAAGUCUGAUGUGAAAUCUAUGGGCUCAACUCAUAGUCUGCAUCGGAAACUGCCGUGCUUGAGGGUGGGGGAGGUGCGUGGAAUUCCCGGUGUAGCGGUGAAAUUCGUAGAUAUUCGGAAGAACACCAGUGGCGAAGGCGGCUCACUGGACUGGUAUUGACGCUGAGGUGCGAAAGCGUGGGGAGCAAACAGGG